Molecule: non-coding RNA, 86 nt
Organism: Podarcis lilfordi (Lilford's wall lizard)
Lineage: Eukaryota; Metazoa; Chordata; Lepidosauria; Squamata; Lacertidae
Source: the annotation of a GenBank genome assembly
AGCAGUUUUGGACUACAACUCCCAUCAGCCCCAGCCAGGACACCCGUGUUAGCUGAGGCUGAUGGAAGUUGUAGUCCAAAACAGCU